GAUGAACGCUGGCGGCGUGCCUAAUACAUGCAAGUCGAGCGAACAGACGAGGAGCUUGCUCCUCUGACGUUAGCGGCGGACGGGUGAGUAACACGUGGAUAACCUACCUAUAAGACUGGGAUAACUUCGGGAAACCGGAGCUAAUCCCGGAUAAUAUAUUGAACCGCAUGGUUCAAUAGUGAAAGACGGUUUUGCUGUCACUUAUAGAUGGAUCCGCGCCGCAUUAGCUAGUUGGUGAGGUAACGGCUUACCACGGCAACGAUGCGUAGCCGACCUGAGAGGGGGAUCGGCCCCACGGGAACUGAGACGCGGUCCAGGCUCCGAGGGGAGGCAGCAGUAGGGAAUCUUCCGCAAUGGGCGAAAGCCUGACGGAGCAACGGAGCGUGAGUGAUGAAGGUCUGCGGAUCGUAAAACUCUGUUAGUAGUGAAGAACAAAUGUGUAAGUAACGAUGCACGUCUUGACGGUACCGAAACAGAAAGCCACGGCUAACUACGU
This 496-nucleotide ribosomal RNA is filed under the name uncultured bacterium. Its description in RNAcentral is "partial 16S ribosomal RNA". It matches the Rfam family "Bacterial small subunit ribosomal RNA", at positions 28 to 506 of the family's 1533-position model. The record is from RNAcentral.